AAGGCAAACUGGCUUAUCGCUGCCUGUCGUUUGACAGGGGGAGGAAAGUCCGGGCAGCACAGAGUACCGUACUUCCUAACAGGAAGGAUUCAUCAUUGAUGGAUACAGAUAGUGCCACAGAAAACAAACUACCUAUUUGGAUACAGAGGCCACUGAGCGUAGUCGAAGUGAGGUGAAGUUACCAAAUGGGAAAAGGUGAAAAGGUGAGGUAAGAGCUCACCGGGCUGUUGGUGACAAGAGUCGCAUGGUAAACCUUACGGGCUGAAAGACCAAAUAAACCCAGGUACGUCGAAUGUAUGUUCGGUGGAAAGAGUAACUCGCUCUACUGGGAGGGUAGGUCGUUCGAUCCUGUUCGUGAGGGCAGGGCUAGAUAAAUGAUAAGCGUCGUGCAAGCGAUUACAGAACCCGGCUUAUGGUUUGCCUUUUAU
RNAcentral lists this RNase P RNA (428 nucleotides) under Bacteroidota bacterium. RNAcentral describes it as "Bacteroidetes bacterium RNase P RNA component class A". It matches the Rfam family "Bacterial RNase P class A". From Rfam's summary of the family: Ribonuclease P (RNase P) is a ubiquitous endoribonuclease, found in archaea, bacteria and eukarya as well as chloroplasts and mitochondria. Lineage: Bacteria; Pseudomonadati; Bacteroidota. The record is from RNAcentral. RNAcentral also lists the same sequence under 1 other name.